GCAAGUCGAACGGUAACGGAGGAAGCUUGCUUCCUGCCGACGAGUGGCGGACGGGUGAGUAAUGUAUCGGAACGUGCCUUGGAGUGGGGGAUAACCAAUCGAAAGGUUGGCUAAUACCGCAUACGAUCUACGGAUGAAAGGGGGGGACCUUCGGGCCUCCUGCUCCUAGAGCGGCCGAUAUCUGAUUAGCUUGUUGGUGGGGUAAUGGCUCACCAAGGCGACGAUCAGUAGCUGGUCUGAGAGGACGACC
Molecule: ribosomal RNA, 250 nt
Filed under: uncultured bacterium
Lineage: Bacteria
Description: partial 16S ribosomal RNA
Rfam family: Bacterial small subunit ribosomal RNA
Source: RNAcentral